RNAcentral lists this ribosomal RNA (254 nucleotides) under uncultured bacterium. Its description in RNAcentral is "partial 16S ribosomal RNA". It matches the Rfam family "Bacterial small subunit ribosomal RNA", at positions 524 to 776 of the family's 1533-position model. The record is from RNAcentral.
UACGUAGGGGGCGAGCGUUGUCCGGAUUUAUUGGGCGUAAAGAGCUCGUAGGCGGCUUGGCAAGUCGGGUGUGAAACCUCCAGGCUCAACCUGGAGACGCCACUCGAUACUGCUAUGGCUAGAGUUCGGUAGGGGAGACUGGAAUUCCUGGUGUAGCGGUGAAAUGCGCAGAUAUCAGGAGGAACACCGGUGGCGAAGGCGGGUCUCUGGGCAGUAACUGACGCUGAGGAGCGAAAGCGUGGGGAGCGAACAGG